This 116-nucleotide ribosomal RNA is filed under the name Lepisosteus oculatus (spotted gar). The record is from RNAcentral. Lineage: Eukaryota; Metazoa; Chordata; Actinopteri; Semionotiformes; Lepisosteidae.
GCCAGCAGCCAUAUGACUCUUCAACUCACAACUAGCCCACUGAAGCUAGGCAGGUGUGAGCCUGGUCAGUACCUGGAUGGGAGACCUCCUGGGAAAAACUAAGGUUGCUGCUGGAA